This 179-nucleotide small RNA is filed under the name Chelonoidis abingdonii (Abingdon island giant tortoise). RNAcentral's name for it is "TUC338 (ENSCABG00000018053.1)". Lineage: Eukaryota; Metazoa; Chordata; Testudines; Testudinidae. The record is from RNAcentral.
UCUAAGGUCCUAGAGACUGAAGCACUCUGUUUACCUACAGAACAAGUACAAGAUAGGCUGUGACAGUGCAAAUAUCCCUCCACUGAUACACUUCAAAUAUGCUUCCUCUCUGUUUGGAAGGGAAAAAUGUAGGAAUGAGAACGAGUUUUGUUUCCAUUUCCAUUUGGUUCUUGGCCUUG